GACGAACGCUGGCGGCGUGCCUAACACAUGCAAGUCGAGCGAUGAGGUUCCUUCCGGAACGGAUUAUCGGCGGACGGGUGAGUAACACGUGGGCAACCUGCCUUAGACAGGGGAAUAGCCUUCCCAAAGGAAGAUUAAUACCGCAUAAGAUUGUAGCUUCGCAUGAGCAGGCAAUUAGAGGAGCAAUCCGCUAUAGGAUGGGCCCGCGGCGCAUUACCUAGUUGGUGAGGUAACGGCUCACCAAGGCGACGAUGCGUAGCCAACCUGAGAGGGCGAUCGGCCACGUUGGGACUGAGACACGGCCCAGACUCCUACGGCAGGCACCAGUGGGAAAUAUUGCACAAUGAGCGAAACCCUGAUGCAACAACGCCACGUGAGUGAUGACGGCCUUCGAGUUGUGACGCUCUGUCUUUGGGGACUAUAAUGACGGAACCCAGAGAGGAAGCCGCGGCUAACUACGUGCCAACAGCCCCGCUAAUACAAACGUGGCAAGCGUUGUCCGGAUUUACUGGGCGUAAAGGGAGCGUACGAGGAUUUUUAAGUGUGAUGUGAAAUACCCGGGCUCAACCUGGGUGCUGCAUUCUGAACUGAAAAUCUAGAGUGCACGAGGGGAAAGUGUAAUUCCUAGUGUAGACGUGAAAUGCGUAGAGAUUAGGAAAAAUCACCAGUGGCGAAGGCAACUUUCUGGACUGUAACUGACGCUGAGGGGUCGAAAGCGUGGCGAGUAAACAGGAUUAGAUACAGUGGUAGUCCUCGCCGUAAACGAUGAAUAGUAGGUGUAGUGGUUGUCAUGACCUCUGUAGCGCCGCUAAUGCACUAUGUAUUCGGGGUGGGGAGUACGGUGGCAAGAUUUAAACUCAAAGGAAUUGACGGGGGCCCGCACAAGUAGCGGAGCAUGUGGUUUAAUUCGAAGCAACGAGAAGAACCUUAUCUAGACUUGACAUGUCAUGAAUUGACAUGUAAUGUUGGAAGUCCUUUCGGGGACAGGAAGACAGGUGGUGCAUGGUUGUCGUCAGCUCGUGUCGUGAGAUGUUGGGUUAAGUCCCGCAACGAGCGCAACCUUUAUUGUUAGUUGCUGCCAUUUAGUUGAGCACUCUAGCGAGACUGCCCGGGUUAAUCGGGAGGAAGGUGGGGAGGACGUCAAAUCAUCAUGCCCCUUAUGUCUAGGGUUACACACGUGUUCCAAUGGCCGGUACAACGAGAUGCAAUACCGUGAGGGGAAGCAAUACUAUAAAACCGGUCUCAGUUCGGAUUGUAGGCUGAAACUCGCCUACAUGAAGCUGGAGUUACUAGUAAUCGCGAAUCAGAAUGUCGCGGUGAAUACGUUCCCGGGCCUUGUACACACCGCCCGUCACACCAUGAGAGUUGGCAAUACCCAAAGUUGGUGAUGUAACCCGUAAGGGAGGAAGCCACCUAAGGUAGGGUCAGCGAUUGGGGUGAAGUC
This 1444-nucleotide ribosomal RNA is filed under the name uncultured organism. RNAcentral's name for it is "16S ribosomal RNA". It matches the Rfam family "Bacterial small subunit ribosomal RNA". The record is from RNAcentral.